This 257-nucleotide ribosomal RNA is filed under the name uncultured prokaryote. RNAcentral describes it as "partial 16S ribosomal RNA". It matches the Rfam family "Bacterial small subunit ribosomal RNA", at positions 524 to 780 of the family's 1533-position model. The record is from RNAcentral.
UACGGAGGAUGCAAGCGUUAUCCGGAUUUAUUGGGUUUAAAGGGUGCGCAGGCGGAAAGAUAAGUCAGUGGUGAAAAACUGCCGCUUAACGGUAGUCUUGCCAUUGAUACUGUUUUUCUUGAGUAUGGAUGAGGUAGGCGGAAUGUGCAGUGUAGCGGUGAAAUGCAUAGAUAUUGCACGGAACUCCGAUUGCGAAGGCAGCUUACUGGACCAUUACUGACGCUCAGGCACGUAAGCGUGGGUAGCAAACAGGAUUA